Molecule: small RNA, 1514 nt
Filed under: Histoplasma capsulatum var. duboisii H88
Lineage: Eukaryota; Fungi; Ascomycota; Eurotiomycetes; Onygenales; Ajellomycetaceae
Description: Histoplasma capsulatum H88 hypothetical RNA
Source: RNAcentral
GUGGCUACGGGCAUCAUGGAUACCAAUAAUUCGUACAGGAAGUAUCUGCUUAGCCUUAAAGAAUCUCAACGGCUGUUUGCGAUCCUUGAUGGCUUCCCAACUAUCGAAUACUUCUGAAACAUCAAUCCGCCCUUGAAUGUUUUCCGCAAGUUGAACAUUUAUCUGCGUUUCCUUAAUGGAGACAACCUUCGCCUUGGUGAUUCUACCAAAGGUCAAAUCGUCCAAAGAUUUUAUGUCUCCGUCGAUGGGAUUAAUAGACGACUGAUUAGCAUUAUCGGACUCCUUAUCACGAUCAGAUACACGUUGCUUGCCUGUAUGUGGCUCCUUUAAUGUUAAAAUAAACCUUUGGCGGUCGUCUUCGAUAGACUGUACAGUUAAGGAUAUAGGUUGUGCUAGAGCGUAUCCAAAGCUAGGUUUAUUUACGUGGUCAUCGUCGACAAGACGUUUUGGGACAAAUCCGGUGAGGCCUCCCAGGAAUUCCACAAACAAACCAUCCGCAAUGAUGUUCUUCACGAAUCCGGUCACCUUGGAGCCUUCCUCAAGAUCCUCAAAUUUGGCAGCAACCAACCCAGAGUCCUCCAGCUUUAGCAGUAUAUCUUCAUUGGAUUUUUCAAAUACAGUGCCUGAAACAGUGUUCCCGGGGUGGAUAUGCUCAAGCGCGCGCUUGUAAGCUUCUGUGGAGGACAACUGGUCCUUGCAGGAGACUACCAGUUUUCGCAACUCUGCGUCAACAUUUAGCGCAUGCACAUUCACAACUUGUCCAAUAUUGAAAUGUUGAGCGGGGUCCUUGAUAUAAGCUUCACUCAUUUCCGAAACCGGGAGAAAUCCUCGAACUUCGCCAUAAAACUGAACAAUUGCUCCAUGAGACUGAAUGCUGAUGAUGGUUCCGGGUGAUUGGUUCCCUGGAAGGAUGUCGCUAUAAUCACACCAGGUGGAGGAUUCGCUAUUUAACAACGUCUUUUUCAACGUAAGUCGUAACUGGCGUUUCUCCAAAUUCACGGAAAGGAUCCUAGCGGAAACCUGUACUCCUUCACGGAACUUCUUUUCUGGAUGCUGCAGUUUAGUAUCGGACAUAUGCAUUCCUGGAACCAACCCGGAAAUUCCAUCCGCGAGAGAAACAAUGAGUCCGCUGAUACCAUCAGGUCCAAUGAGGAGUUUCUCGAUCUUUCCCUUGACCACCGCGCCAACUGUAACGUCCUCGAGACGAAGGAAAGGUUGGUCGAUGACCUUUCUUUCGAGAGAUAGUAGAUAGAGGUUAUCCAGUGCGCUGAAGCCAACUAUUCUUGCUUCAUGGGUAGAAUCGACCAUAUAAGGACCCUGCGUAGAAGAUAUGCUAUCGACCUUGUCAUCGGAGAGCCUGGAAAUAUGGACAAAUCCAUAAUGCUUGUCAUUGAAUUGAACGUAGACUCCCAACCCAGGCUCAACUUUAGUGACUUUUACUUCAGGCACAAUGGCAGAUAUAGCAGGGACACCCUCACAGCUAGAUUUGUGGUCUAGAACUGUUGGCGUAAACU